This 91-nucleotide transfer RNA is filed under the name Streptomyces fumigatiscleroticus. RNAcentral's name for it is "tRNA-Ala". The record is from RNAcentral. Lineage: Bacteria; Bacillati; Actinomycetota; Actinomycetes; Kitasatosporales; Streptomycetaceae.
GCCCCGCCUCGGGGGGCGCCGGGCCCGGCUCGCAUCGGUGCGGCCGACGCGCGGACGGUGGACGGGCCGGGUCCGUCGCCGGCGUGGGGCG